CAAUUUAUUAUUAUUUUUUCUUCAUUUUGCAAGCAUGCAGCAGCACAAUUGCAUCAAGAUGCUGCCCCCUCUCCUCUUUUGGUGCCGACCCCUACCUUUUCCUUAAUGCAAACUGCAGCACUUAAUCCAUUGGUUCACCUUCUUUACAUGCCCCUCAUCAAUCUCUCUUAUCUCUCUUCCCCUUAGUGCAUGAGCGUAACAACACAAAAAUGUUAGGCAUCAAUGGCAUGUAGCCAUUUAUCAUCCCUGGACGCCCCUACUCGCCC
This 266-nucleotide long non-coding RNA is filed under the name Sorghum bicolor (sorghum). RNAcentral's name for it is "long non-coding RNA (SBIC_LNC010050)". The record is from RNAcentral. Lineage: Eukaryota; Viridiplantae; Streptophyta; Magnoliopsida; Poales; Poaceae.